GAAAGAGUACUGGACAUCACUAGCAUCACUCCUCGGCGUCUUCGCUUUCUGCCAAAGCCUAAUGCAAUCAAUAAUCCCACCAGAGCUCCGUUUCGCCUUCCUCAAACUCUUCAACCGAACCUUCCACCUCUUCUCCUCCUACUGCUACUUCGACAUAACGGAGCUCGACGGCGUCAACACCAACGAGCUCUACAACGCCGUCCAGCUCUACCUCAGCACCUCCGUUUCCAUCGCCGGCAACCGUUUAAGCCUCACCCGCGCCGUCAACUCCUCCUCCAUCACGUUCGGUCUCUCCAACAACGACUCCAUCGUCGACACUUUCAACAACGCCACCGUCCUCUGGGAACACGUCGUCACUCAACGACAAACUCAGACGUUCGCGUGGAGACCGUUGCCCGAGGAGAAACGCGGGUUCACUCUCCGUAUCAAGAAGAGAGACAAAACACUGAUCUUAAACUCUUAUCUUGAUUUCAUCGCGGAGAAAGCUAACGAGAUCCGUCGGAAGAACCAGGACCGGUUGCUUUACACGAACACUCGAGGCGGGUCUUUGGACUCGAGGGGACAUCCUUGGGAGUCUGUUCCUUUCAAGCAUCCGAGCACGUUCGAGACUCUUGCGAUGGAUCCGACAAAGAAGCAAGAGAUCAUGGAUGAUCUUAAGGAUUUUGUGUUAGGUCAAAUGUUUUAUCAGAAAACGGGUAGGGCUUGGAAGAGAGGUUACUUGCUGUAUGGGCCACCUGGUACUGGUAAGUCUAGUAUGAUCGCAGCCAUGGCGAAUUAUCUAGGCUAUGAUAUUUAUGAUCUUGAACUCACUGAGGUGCAUAGCAACUCGGAGUUGAGGAAGCUGCUGAUGAAAACGAGUUCUAAGUCGAUAAUUGUGAUCGAAGACAUCGACUGUUCGAUCAAUUUGACGAACCGGAACAAGAGCAGUGGACUCAAAGCCGGUUUUGAACAUAGGCAAGUGAAAUAUUAGUUUUAAUAAUUUUUUAAAAAUUUAUUUUUACUAAAUCGUUUAAGACCUCCAAAAUCUUAGGAUCGGCUCUGAAACACGAAGUGGGUCGGGUUCGGGUGAAGAGUCUGGUAAUGGGAACACGAUAACGUUGUCGGGUUUGUUGAACUUUACGGAUGGGCUUUGGUCUUGUUGUGGAAGCGAGAGGAUCUUUGUCUUUACGACCAAUCAUAUAGAGAAGCUUGAUCCUGCUUUGCUUAGGAGUGGGAGGAUGGACAUGCAUGUGUGCAUGCACAGCCGGUCCUAGUUAUUAUAAGGCUAGAAGCCAAUUUAAAAAAUGUGGCUGAAGUCCCUCGAACCCGCAACCUGUAACAGGUUACAACAACCACCCAACCGCUGGGCUACUAAGAACUUUCUGUUUAAAUGUGGCCGUUUAGGAUGAUAAUAUUUGGUGGCUGGAAGCACAAGCUUCAUUGGCUUCCCUCCAAGACCGGCUCUGUGUGCAUGAGUUACUGUGACUUCCCGUCGUUGAAGAUUUUGUUGAGGAACUAUUUGGGGUAUGAGGAGGAAGAUGUGGACGGCGACGUUUUGAAGGAGAUGGAGAGAGUGGUGGAGAAGGCGGAGAUGACGCCUGCGGAUGUAAGUGAGGCUUUGAUCAGGAAUAGGAGGGAUAAGGAGAAGGCGGUUAGGGAGUUGUUGGUGGAGUUGAAGAGUAGAUGGGAGAGGAAUGUGAAAGGUGGGAAGUUGAGGGGUCAAAGUGGAAAUUUGAGGGAGUUGGAAAUUGUGGAGGAGGAAGAGAAGAGGGCUAUAGAUAGUCAAAAUGAAGAUGGUGAUGAUGUUGAAGAUGAAACUGAGCUCGUGGACAAUGUUGGUAAAGACUAGAGAGGAUUCAAAAUAAACAAUGUACAAGAAAAUGGUGAAAACUUGUUAUCUUUCUUCUUUUCUUUAUUUGAUGGGUUUUCUCUUUUUGAAUAUGUGAUAUGCAUCAGUUUUCAGUUUUUUACCACCUCAGCCUUGAAUAUACUUACGUUUUACAUAAUUGAAAGCUACUUCCAUAUUUUAUAAAUUUCUUUCCUAUGAGACUAAUCUUAAAAGCAGACAACUUUUUAACGGUUUAACAAUAUCUAAACUUUCAUAGUAAACACUGAUUCAUUUUUUAAAAACAUAAGAAAAUUUUGAUCAAUAAUAAAGAGAAAAAAUAGUCCCAAACAAAUCUUGACCAUCAUAAAUCACUCAAAUCAGCAAGUCUUAAACUCAAAGAAAGUUACAAAACCCAAAUUUGUUUUUCUUCUUUUCAUUUUACACUUGUUCCUUAACUAACCUCUUUGCCUUUGUCACUAUCAUAGCCUUACAUUUAUAUUUUCUGAACAAAUCCUUUUUAUUUAACUUUCUCUGUAAAGUUUUCUCGAGAAAUUUGUCAAAAAAAUUAAAAAAGAACUCUUAUUAUAAAUUGAAAGAGACCAUCUCUUCUUAAUAUCCCAAAGCUUUCACUUUUUUUUUUUAUUCUUCUUUCACACCUUCUCAAGAAAUCCUCUGUUUUCUCUUCACCCUUUUGAAGCUUCUCUCUUAACUUUGAUCUCUAAAGAAACAAAAAAAAUGAAAGAGUACUGGACAUCACUAGCAUCACUCCUCGGCGUCUUCGCUUUCUGCCAAAGCCUAAUGCAAUCAAUAAUCCCACCAGAGCUCCGUUUCGCCUUCCUCAAACUCUUCAACCGAACCUUCCACCUCUUCUCCUCCUACUGCUACUUCGACAUAACGGAGCUCGACGGCGUCAACACCAACGAGCUCUACAACGCCGUCCAGCUCUACCUCAGCACCUCCGUCUCCAUCGCCGGCAAC
Molecule: long non-coding RNA, 2785 nt
Filed under: Brassica napus (rape)
Lineage: Eukaryota; Viridiplantae; Streptophyta; Magnoliopsida; Brassicales; Brassicaceae
Description: long non-coding RNA (BNAP_LNC002149)
Source: RNAcentral